RNAcentral lists this ribosomal RNA (550 nucleotides) under uncultured bacterium. RNAcentral's name for it is "bacterial SSU rRNA". It matches the Rfam family "Bacterial small subunit ribosomal RNA", at positions 355 to 896 of the family's 1533-position model. The record is from RNAcentral.
UGGGGAAUUUUUCGCAAUGGGGGAAACCCUGACGAAGCAACGCCGCGUGGAGGAUGAAGGCCCUCGGGUCGUAAACUCCUGUCAAUCGGGAAGAAAGCAUAUCGGUCUAAUACACCGGUGUGUUGACGGUACCGGUGGAGGAAGCUCCGGCUAACUCUGUGCCAGCAGCCGCGGUAAUACAGAGGGAGCAAGCGUUGUUCGGAAUUACUGGGCGUAAAGGGCGCGUAGGCGGUUCGGCCAGUCCCACGUGAAAUCCCCCGGCUUAACCGGGGAACUGCGUGGGAAACUGUCGGACUUGAGAUCGGGAGAGGGAAGCGGAAUUCCGGGUGUAGCGGUGAAAUGCGCAGAUAUCCGGAGGAACAUCAGUGGCGAAGGCGGCUUCCUGGACCGAAACUGACGCUGAGGCGCGAAAGCUAGGGGAGCGAACGGGAUUAGAUACCCUGGUAGUCCACGCUGUAAACGAUGAGCACUCGAUGUGCGGGGUACGACCCCCCGCGUGUCACAGCUAACGCAUUAAGUGCUCCGCCUGGGGACUACGGUCGCAAGACUA